Molecule: ribosomal RNA, 907 nt
Filed under: uncultured bacterium
Lineage: Bacteria
Description: bacterial SSU rRNA
Rfam family: Bacterial small subunit ribosomal RNA
Source: RNAcentral
CGAACGGGUGAGUAACGCGUGGGUAACCUGCCUUAUAGCGGGGGAUAACUAUUGGAAACGAUAGCUAAUACCGCAUAACAAUAGAGAUUGCAUAAUCUUUAUUUGAAAGUACCAACUGGUACACUAUGAGAUGGACCCGCGUUGUAUUAGCUAGUUGGUAGUGUAAUGGACUACCAAGGCGAUGAUACAUAGCCGACCUGAGAGGGUGAUCGGCCACAUUGGGACUGAGACACGGCCCAAACUCCUACGGGAGGCAGCAGUAGGGAAUCUUCGGCAAUGGACGAAAGUCUGACCGAGCAACGCCGCGUGAGUGAAGAAGGUUUUCGGAUCGUAAAACUCUGUUGUUAGAGAAGAAUGUCGAUUAGAGUGGAAAAUUAAUCAAGUGACGGUAUCUAACCAGAAAGGGACGGCUAACUACGUGCCAGCAGCCGCGGUAAUACGUAGGUCCCGAGCGUUGUCCGGAUUUAUUGGGCGUAAAGCGAGCGCAGGUGGUUUAAUAAGUCUGAUGUAAAAGGCAGUGGCUCAACCAUUGUGUGCAUUGGAAACUGUUAGACUUGAGUGCAGUAGAGGAGAGUGGAAUUCCAUGUGUAGCGGUGAAAUGCGUAGAUAUAUGGAGGAACACCGGUGGCGAAAGCGGCUCUCUGGACUGUCACUGACACUGAGGCUCGAAAGCGUGGGUAGCAAACAGGAUUAGAUACCCUGGUAGUCCACGCCGUAAACGAUGAGUGCUAGGUGUCGGAGGGGAACCUUCGGUGCCGCAGCUAACGCAAUAAGCACUCCACCUGGGGAGUACGAUCGCAAGAUUGAAACUCAAAGGAAUUGACGGGGGCCCGCACAAGCGGUGGAGCAUGUGGUUUAAUUCGAAGCAACGCGAAGAACCUUACCAAGGCUUGACAUCCCGAUGACG